Molecule: unclassified non-coding RNA, 280 nt
Filed under: Hevea brasiliensis (rubber tree)
Lineage: Eukaryota; Viridiplantae; Streptophyta; Magnoliopsida; Malpighiales; Euphorbiaceae
Source: RNAcentral
UGUUGACAGAAAUUGUAGCAGAUGUAGGAGAUGGAACAACAGAAGAGAUUGGAGAUUGAAAACUUCGGAACUCAUUCAUUUAAAAAGCCCCGCAAGCUUUUGCUCGCGUGGUUUCACCUUAAAAUUCCCAUCUUUAGAAGAAGUAAUUGUAAAAGAUGCCCAAUAUGUGGAUAUUCUCUGCUGGAGCAUUAAGCACACCAAAGCUGCAAUGUGUACAAGUGGCAGUAGUACAUUUUGGAAAUUGGCUUUGGAAGGGAAACGUCAAUGCCACCACACAACA